GGGUCUGUAGCUCAACUGGUAGAGCAGCUCCCUCUUAAGGAGAAGGUUGCGCGUUCGAUUCGCGCCAGACCCA
This 73-nucleotide transfer RNA is filed under the name bacterium. Its description in RNAcentral is "tRNA-Lys". It matches the Rfam family "tRNA". From Rfam's summary of the family: Transfer RNA (tRNA) molecules are approximately 80 nucleotides in length. Their secondary structure includes four short double-helical elements and three loops (D, anti-codon, and T loops). Further hydrogen bonds mediate the characteristic L-shaped molecular structure. tRNAs have two regions of fundamental functional importance: the anti-codon, which is responsible for specific mRNA codon recognition, and the 3' end, to which the tRNAs corresponding amino acid is attached (by aminoacyl-tRNA synthetases). tRNAs cope with the degeneracy of the genetic code in two manners: having more than one tRNA (with a specific anti-codon) for a particular amino acid; and 'wobble' base-pairing, i.e. permitting non-standard base-pairing at the 3rd anti-codon position. The record is from RNAcentral.